Strigops habroptila (Kakapo) is the source of this 1974-nucleotide RNA transcript. It is a transcript of the gene named sulfide quinone oxidoreductase, with no coding region annotated. The transcript is spliced from 10 exons. Lineage: Eukaryota; Metazoa; Chordata; Aves; Psittaciformes; Psittacidae. The record is from RefSeq and is a predicted model, not a curated record.
AACUGUUAUCUGAGGCCAGCUGUUCAGAGGAUAGUUGUAGUGAUCUUUACUCUUGCUAGUAAGACUUUUGUAAUUUUGUUUGUUCUAACUCCCUGCAAUAGAUCGUUCAUGAACUGGCUCAGUGAAGUAGUCAGGCUUGGGAGCUGAGCAUACGAUAGAUACGUGAAGUGUCGUGCUUCAGUUAAGUGUUUGUUCAGGCACUAGAACUUGUGCCUCUCAAGGAUGUUUACUUGGAAGAUGUCGGCAAUUGGAGUAGUGUCGUCUUGUUCCUGUCUCCGUCCUAGUGUACGGCUGCUGAAACCAGGAAUGCAGAAGACAAGCUCCUUCAGCUUACAUGUGGCAGCCAGGUGUGCUGCCAAGGAUUACUAUGAAGUACUUGUGUUGGGUGGAGGUGCUGGUGGAAUCACCAUGAGUGCUCGGAUGAAGAGGAAAGUGGGGGCAGGAAACGUGGCUGUCGUUGAGCCAAGUAAGACUCAUUACUAUCAGCCACUGUGGACUCUGGUUGGUGGUGGUGCAAAGCAACUAGCAACUUCUGCACGUCCAACAGGAAGUGUAAUGCCUGCAGGUGUUGAGUGGAUCAAAUCUCGAGUUACAGCAUUAGAUCCAGAUAAGAACUGUGUCUAUGUGGAGAAUGACAGGAAGAUAUCUUACAAGUAUCUGAUAAUUGCCCUUGGGAUUAGUCUGCAUUACGAAAAGAUCAAAGGCUUGCCUGAAGGUUUUCAUCACCCUAAAAUAGGUUCCAAUUAUUCAGUGCAUACAGUAGAGAAAACAUGGAAAGCUGUACAAGAUUUCAAGGAGGGAAAUGCUAUCUUCACUUUUCCAAACACUCCAGUGAAGUGUGCAGGGGCUCCUCAGAAGAUCAUGUAUUUAUCAGAGGCCUACUGGAGGAAAACAGGAAAACGAUCCAAAGCAAACAUAAUGUUCAACACUUCACUUGGUGUCAUUUUUGGUGUUAAGAAGUAUGCUGAUGCAUUGCUUGAAAUAGUAAAGGAGAGGGAUAUCGCUGUUAACUAUAAGCGCAAUCUUGUAGAAGUUCGAGCAGACAAGCAGGAAGCUGUGUUUGAAAACUUGGACAAGCCCGGAGUGACUGAAGUUCAUCAGUAUGAAAUGCUUCAUGUCACGCCCCCCAUGGGGCCACCUGGUGUUCUCAUCAACAGUCGUGUCUCGGAUGAAACUGGCUGGGUGGAUGUUGAUAAGGAAACUCUACAACAUAAAAAGUACCCUAAUGUAUUUGGCAUUGGAGACUGCACCAACCUUCCAACUUCCAAAACUGCUGCAGCCCUGCCCAGUCUGGAGUGCUUGACAGAACUAUUUCCCUGGUAAUGAAGAACCAGUUGCCAACUCAAAAGUAUGAUGGAUAUACAUCCUGCCCACUGGUGACAGGCUACAACAAGGUGAUUCUAGCAGAAUUUGACUACAACGCUCAGCCAUUGGAGACCUUUCCCAUUGACCAGAGUAAGGAGAGAGUAACCAUGUACCAUAUGAAAGCUGAUAUGAUGCCUUUUCUCUAUUGGAAUGCACUACUCAAGGGAUACUGGGGAGGACCAGCUCCUGUCAGGAAGCUCAUGCAUCUAGGCUUGAAGUAACUGCUGCCUGGUCAAACCUUUUUGAAGGGCUGUUCUCACAGUGGAUCAAUACACAGCUUCCCUGGUGGGCCACCUAGUACUACUUUUUUUCUUAAGCUUUUGUCCUAAAUAUGCUUUUUCCCCUACUAGGGAUUAAGCCUUCAUAUUCUUUCAUUGCUCUUCUAUAUAAACCAAGGCCUUAAACUACUUCUGUAAGUACACAGGAGUGUGAACUUGCCGUAAGCUACAGAACACUAUUGAAAUUGCCUGGAGACAUCAGUAAUUUUAAAGCUGUUGUAAUAUGUAAAAUCUUUUCCAACUCUAAACUGAAUUGCCUGUGUCCAACAUCAAUGUGUACACUGAAUUUAACAGAAUAAUUUAAUGCUAGUAAAAUGGCCUGAAAACCUCC